Molecule: non-coding RNA, 253 nt
Filed under: uncultured bacterium
Lineage: Bacteria
Also listed under: 1 other name
Description: partial 16S ribosomal RNA
Rfam family: Bacterial small subunit ribosomal RNA
Source: RNAcentral
UACGAAGGGGGCUAGCGUUGCUCGGAAUUACUGGGCGUAAAGCGCACGUAGGCGGACUUUUAAGUCGGGGGUGAAAUCCCGGAGCUCAACUCCGGAACUGCCUUCGAAACUGGAAGUCUUGAGUUCGGGAGAGGUGAGUGGAACUGCGAGUGUAGAGGUGAAAUUCGUAGAUAUUCGCAAGAACACCAGUGGCGAAGGCGGCUCACUGGCCCGAUACUGACGCUGAGGUGCGAAAGCGUGGGGAGCAAACAGG